Molecule: RNA transcript, 6949 nt
Organism: Trachemys scripta elegans
Lineage: Eukaryota; Metazoa; Chordata; Testudines; Emydidae
Gene: ZHX1
Gene name: zinc fingers and homeoboxes 1
Exons: 7
Source: RefSeq, a predicted model, not a curated record
GAGAGAGAGAGAGAGAGACACUGCCUAUUGCUACACUCUUUUCCCACACUCAGAUCAUAACAUAGAUAGAGUCCAGGGGGAAAUGUAGUUUUAAUUAAGGGAUAAAAUCAGGGUCUGUGUGCUUAGGGUGGGUGGGUUUAAAGUGCUAUGUGAGUUCAAAGUUCACAGUUCAGUUACCCACCCCUCCCCAAAAAAAGUGCAGUAGUUUUUUAAAUGCAAGAUGGCGACGAGGCAGUAAGAGGAGGAGGUACUGACACAGGCUGAGUGGGAGAGAGGCAGAGAGCAGCACUUCAAGAUUUUCAACUCUUCCCCAGAUCAGGAUGCACAGUAAUAGAGAUCCAAAACAGCGUCAAUAAACCACAUACUUUGAAAAGGUGCUGGGCCUCUGAAAGGGGUUGGAACACCUACAGUAGUGAACACUAACUGAUUGUAAGAGGAAAAUGAACUUUUCUGCUUUUUCGAUUCCCAAUUGGUUUCUCAACUUUGAAUCACCUAGUCAUUGAACUGAACUACUUGAAUAAACUGAAAUGAAGAAAAUGUUCGUUCUGUGCCUGCAGAAGAGGCUACUCCUGUCAAAAGCUGGUUUAGCACUUCGAACACCAGUCACAAGUGCUUAGCCAGUGACUUCCACCAGUGCAGUGGUUUGACUUCAAAAUUUCACCAGCAAACAGAACUGCUUGCACAAAGAAGCAUGUUGUUUUCCUGGUAAAAAGGCUAGAGGGAUGACAUAGUAUGUUUUAAAUUUAGGCACCACAAAUCAAAAUAGAGACUUCUGCACUCACUGACACCAUCUACCACUUGAGAAUUGGUCGGUAUGUUGCUGAAGACAUUGUCCUUCCAGUUGAGGUCUGCUAAAUACUAUUCCCUUUGUAAUGCUAUCUGAAACAGCCAAGAUGGAUUGUUGCUCCGUGGUGUUCUCUGAGUACUCUGCCACCUUGGAAGCUAAGGACCACAUUCAAGAGUCAGACUCUAAUCCUCUGGCUGUAAACUCGUGUGUCUGAGGAUUUUCUUGUGUAGAAGCUAACAUUUGACUGUAUUUCAAGGAGAAAACAAUUAAAGAGAUUACAACUCUCUGCAGAAGUUUGUGGGACACUUUCCUAUGCACUGUGCCCACAGGAUGAAACUCAAUCCUUUGGCACCUUUUAGGAAUACAGUAUAUGAAAUUGCUCUCUUCCUUAAAUCUAUGUAAAUCUGCAUAAUUUGGUAUAUUUUUAAUUGUAGAUAUAUUUUGUAUCUGUUCAUUCUUUCUCGUCUGAGAAAUAGACAGGGAUCUCUGUGCCUGAAGUGCAUAAUUUUGGUGGUGGAAAUGGACUUUAAGAAGCUGUGACUCAACAUUUCAUCCUUGAACUACAACGUUUUUUUUAAUCUGAUUGCACUACAAAAAAGCUGCUAAUGGGAUAAAUGCUGACAAGUUUCAAGAAUUGACUUGAAGUACCAAAAGCCAUUGUUGAAAAUCAAGAAGUGCUUGAACCUACAUCAGUAUCAUUCAGUCAAUAUUAUUUCCUCACAACAACAGAAUGGCAAGUAAACGAAAAUCAACUACCCCAUGCAUGGUCCUAGCAAGCGAGCAGGAUCCAGACUUAGAAAUGAUAUCAGAUUUGGAUGAAGGACCUCCUCUACUUACACCAGCAGAGAAUGCUACAGCUGAGAGUAUAUCAAGUGAUGAAGACGUUCAAGAAUAUAUGGAUUCAGACAAUCAGCAAAAUAAAAAAGUUGAAGGUGGCUAUGAAUGUAAAUACUGUACAUUUCAGACACCAGAUCUAAAUAUGUUUACUUUUCAUGUUGAUUCAGAACACCCUAAUGUAGUAUUAAAUUCAUCCUAUGUCUGCGUGGAAUGCAAUUUUCUUACCAAAAGGUAUGAUGCUCUUUCUGAGCACAAUCUGAAGUACCACCCCGGAGAAGAGAAUUUUAAACUGACCAUGGUGAAACGUAAUAAUCAGACAAUCUUUGAGCAAACAGUGAACGAUCUCACUUUUGAUGGGAGUUUUGUGAAAGAGGAGAAUGCUGAGCAAUCCAACAUCUCAGAGAUCCCCUCAUCAGGAAUCUCAAUUAGCAAAACCCCUAUUAUGAAAAUGAAAAACAAAACGGAGACUAAACGAAUUGCUGUUUUCCACAAUGUAGCUGAAGACAUUCCUGGUGAAGAAAAGGAAACUGAAAAUGAGCCAGACUGUGAGGAAGUAGUUGAAACCCCACAAUCGGCAGUUUCCGAGUCCAAAAUGAACAAUCCAGCUGCUUGCAGUGCAGCAGAUACAACUAGCACCGUAAUGACUCCAGCGCCAGUGAUUCAACCUGGGGUGGCACAGGUAAUAACUACUGUCACAGCUCCACAGAACUCUAACUUGAUUCCAAAAGUCUUAAUACCUGUAAACAGCAUUCCAACCUACAACACUUCUUUGGAUAACAAUCCUCUUCUGCUCAACACCUAUAAAAAAUUUCCCUAUCCAACUAUGUCAGAAAUCACCGUUCUCUCUGCUCAAGCUAAAUAUACUGAGGAACAGAUUAAAAUAUGGUUUUCUGCCCAACGUCUGAAACAUGGUGUGAGCUGGACCCCAGAGGAAGUGGAAGAAGCGAGGAGGAAGCAAUUUAAUGGCACUGUGCAUACUGUACCACAGACAAUUACGGUUAUUCCAGCACACAUUUCAGCAGCUGGCAAUGGUUUGCCAUCCAUCUUGCAGACAUGCCAAAUAGUUGGUCAACCAGGUCUUGUCCUCACUCAAGUCGCAGGUACAAACACUUUGCCAGUAACAGCCCCUAUAGCUCUGACAGUAGCGGGAGUCCCAAAUCAGACACAGUUACAGAAGAGCCAGAUCCAUACCACCCAGCCUGUUGCAGAAACCAAGCAAGUAGCUGCCAUUCCAGCCCCUCAGCUUAUCAAACACGAAACCACAUUAGUAAAUCCGGAUUCAUUCGGCAUCCGUGCAAAGAAGACGAAAGAACAGUUGGCAGAAUUAAAAGUCAGCUACCUUAAAAAUCAGUUUCCUCAUGAUUCAGAGAUUAUUAGGCUCAUGAAAAUAACGGGCCUGACCAAAGGAGAAAUCAAAAAGUGGUUCAGUGAUACACGAUACAACCAGAGAAACUCAAAAAAUAAUCAUGGCAUUCAUCUCAACAACGAUUCUUCCACCACCAUUAUUAUUGAUUCAAGUGAUGAAACAAAUGAGUCCCCAACGGUAGUCACGCCACAGCAUAAGCAGUCGUGGAAUGCUUUCCCUGAUUUCACCCCACAGAAAUUCAAAGAAAAGACUGCUGAACAGUUGCACAACCUCCAAGCAAGUUUUCUCAAUAACCCUGUCCUGACAGACGAAGAACUGAAUAGGUUAAGGGCACAGACUAAACUGACCAGAAGAGAGAUCAAUGCCUGGUUUACAGAGAGAAAGAAAACAAAUGCUUUAAAGGAAGAAGAAGCUGAGUUAAAAGAGAGCAAUGCAAGCGGCUCAAAAGAUGAGGCUGGAGAAACUUCUCAGGGAGAGGGAUCUGUAUGGCUAAGAUCAGGGGGUUCUGCAAGCAAGGUGGGUAAAAAGUCACCAGAGCAGUUACAUAUGCUUAAAAGUUCAUUUGUCCGUACUCAGUGGCCAUCCCCACAAGAAUACGACAAACUGGCAGAAGAAACUGGCCUUCCGAGAUCGGACAUUGUUAGCUGGUUUGGAGAUACUCGCUAUGCCUGGAAAAAUGGUGGUUUGAAAUGGUACUAUUACUACCAGGGUUCCAGUGGGAAUUGUAUGAAUGGUCAAGCCUUUGUCAGAAGGAGGGGGAGAGGGAGACCGAAAGGAAGGGGAAGAGGAAGGCCUCGUGGGCGGCCUCGGGGAAGCAAAAGGAUAAACAACUGGGACAGAGGAUCCUCCGUCAUCAAAUUCAAAACUGGAACAGCAAUCCUUAAGGAUUAUUAUAUGAAGCACAAAUUCCUCAAUGAGCAAGACCUUGAUGAACUUGUAGCCAGAUCUCACAUGGGAUAUGAGCAGGUCAGAGAGUGGUUUGCAGAAAGGCAAAGAAGAUCAGAACUAGGCAUAGAGCUGUUUGAGGAGAAUGAGGAUGAAGAAGAAAUGCUGGAUGAUCAGGAAGAGGAGGAAGAAACGGAUGAUAGUGACACUUGGGAACCCCCCCGACAUGUUAAGCGUAAACUCUCGAAAUCAGAUUGACAUGUAAGUUUGGGGCUUGGGGCAAAAAACCCAUAAAUUCUAUUUGACAUUAUUGUGAAGAGCCAAAUAGUUUUUAAAGGCUUUCCGUUUUAGUGAACACCUUCCUAGCACGUUCCCUCCACCUGAGAGAGUGGACAAGAUACUACCUGUGCAGCCACCAAAUAUUUGCUUCCUGGCUAGCAGUGAUGGACAUGCUCCGUGUUAGCCCAGGGUUUGGAACUAUAAAUCCAACCCAAAUUCUGCUCCUGCUCCUCCUCCUCCUCCUCCACAUCACUGCUGAGGGCUCAUCAUUUAAGUGACUAUUUAUAAAUAUUUAAUUGCCUUGUGUUUAAUUCCAAAAAAACACAGCUGCAUUUUUCAUUGUUAUAGGAGAACAUUACCCACUCUUGGAGGAGGAAAAUACAAAAACCUAAUAUGUCUUUUUGCAAACCUCGCUUUACCUCCUAAGGCUUCAGAGCUUGGGGUGUUUGUUUUUUUUAAAGGAAAGAAUUCAAAAACAGAAAAGAAGGGGAAAAGUAUGACAAAGGAAUCAAUAACCACAGGGCUGCCCAAAGUGGUGAAGGGGAAGCAAGAUAUCUGGUUUACUGUGAAUGGGCCUAAUCUUUCGUGAAACCAAGAAAAUUUUGAGACACACACAGGAUUGAAUACUCAAAAGGAUUGGAACUUAGUGUUGUGCCAAAGUUAAACUACUGCAGCUGGCAGAAGUUCUGCACUGUAAAUAGAAGACUGAUUAAAAGACUACUUGUAAAACAAAUUUUAAUACAGUACAUUUUUAUUCUGAUACAUGAUGGAAACUUUCUGUUUUAGACCUUUUUUUGAAGGGGCUUCAGUGACCACUAGAUUUUGUCCUCUAUUUUGUCCAGCUUAAUACUGUACGUUCUAGUAAGAUGGGCUUUAUUGCCUGUGUUCUUUGAUAUGUGAUUAAGCUUAUAGCUUUGAGUGACCAAACAUUUUACAGAGUAAAAGUUCUUAGAAAAAGUAAACGUAACUGAUAUUUGUGUCUUAUUUAUCAGGCUCUGCACAAACUUUGAAAGUUGUGCAUGCACUUGUACAACUUACACAUACAAUUGGGAAUGCAUGGGAUUCUUCUCAAUAUUACAAAACUAAGCCUUUGUGGCAUUAUGGAUCAUUAUGGAUCUUGUCUUUGGAAUUCUUUUUUUUUUAAGAUAUAUGAAUGAGUGCCACUGUUAAAUAUUUGUAAUAUUUCCAUUCCUACUUUCAAUAGAGGCCUAUUUUGCUUUAACACCUGAAGAAAAUAACGAGAGAGAGAAAAUAAAAAGAAGCUGUCAGAAGAAUGAAUACUGAGGGAACCACUGAACAUAAACUUUGUACCAAAAAUUUGAAAACAGAAAUAAUGUACUAUGUCCUUACUGAGUGAGUGUGUGUGUUUAUAAGGAUUAUGCAGAAACUAGGAACUGUCUUUGUUCAAAUAUUUAGCAGUCCAGAGCUUUUCUAGCAUCAUUCUCUCUGUUCAUUGUUAACAACGUUGCCAUGUCAGGAGGCCUGAACAUUCAUGUAAACUCUUUCUGUUAAGGCAGAUGCUCUUCAUUCAUAUUUUUAAAAUAAUUUUGAGAGGAUAUUUUUAAAGAUGACAAAGGGGAUUAGGCACCCAAUUCCCCCUGAAAGUCAUUGGGAGCUGAGCACCUAAAUCCCCUUUGUGCCUUUUGAAAAAUCUCCAUUUGUGGCUACAGGACCAUUUUUUAAAUGUGCUUUUUCUUCAGAGAAAUUUUUUUGAAAUGAGCAUGUUCCAUUUAAAGCCCAGCUCAUGUGCAAAUAACUGCAGAGAAAAUCCUGCUCGCCUUCAUUCACACAAACUCCCAGUUGGAGCCAGUAUGUGAGCUUUGCAUGAAUAAGACUAAGGGCUUGUCUACAUGCACAAAUCGUAAUAUUUUGACUAUACUAGUAUACUUUAAGCGGAACAACUCCCUAGCGUGGAUACACUAAUACCUAUAUAAGGGUGGUUUACACUGGUAUAGCUAUUCCCAUACAGGAAGAGGAAUAAGCUACACCGGUGUAAAAUCAACCCGAUUAUUGAUAGUUAUACCAGUCCAAAAACUAUAGACAGGCCCAGGAAUUAUUAGCUCCCUACUCUGCGCAAUCUGUUCUACACAACUCAUAGAAUGAUACAUCGUAAAGAAUGUUUUUUACUGAAGCAUUUGUCAGCUAACAAAAGAGAUACAGAGGAGCCUUGAAUAUGCAUGCUGCUUUCAUUUUUAUAAAUGGUUACCUUUUUUAACUACAGCUUUAUUAGUAAUUCCAAAAUACUGCGAUUUAGUUGAUAUUUUCGCAACAGACCAGCUGGCUUUGUGAGUUGGUGUCUUUUUUUUUUUUUAUUUCUUUUUCAUACUGCUGUCAACUACUAUUUUUUUAAUAAUGUAAAAUAUGCAGAAAUUUUGUGCGCUACUUUUAUUUUUCUUUUUUACUCCAUAGAGCACUCAGAAGUAUAAUGUUAAAUUGCUGUUUGGGGUAUUUUUUUGUUUUGUUUGUUUGUUCUUUUUUUCAGCAUUGCUGAUUGUGGUCUUUGAUCCAUUUGACAGUAGUUUCUUAACAUUUUCAGCUGUUGAACAGAUUUGUUGUGCUUCAGGUAUUGUAAAAUGAAGCCUUUGAAUAUAUUUAUAUUAUCUGUUUUCACUGCAAUAAUGUUUAACCAUCUAUAGUUGUAAAUAAUUCUUACCAGUGUGUUUCCUUACAGGCUUAAUGCUGAUCUGAUGUUUGCUAGCUUACAAUAUUUAUUUGACAGAGAAGAAGGAAAAAAAAAAAUCUGUCUCACCCAGCUGAUUUGUGUUUUUGAGUGCAUAAUAAAGGUCAGCAUUCAG